This 143-nucleotide ribosomal RNA is filed under the name uncultured eukaryote. Its description in RNAcentral is "partial small subunit ribosomal RNA". It matches the Rfam family "Bacterial small subunit ribosomal RNA", at positions 1383 to 1525 of the family's 1533-position model. The record is from RNAcentral.
GUACACACCGCCCGUCACACCAUGGGAGUGGGUUGCACCAGAAGUCGCUAGCUUAACCUUCGGGAGGGCGGUGACCACGGUGUGAUUCAUGACUGGGGUGAAGUCGUAACAAGGUAGCCGUAGGUGAACCUGCAGAAGGAUCA